Molecule: ribosomal RNA, 1134 nt
Filed under: Triticum aestivum (bread wheat)
Lineage: Eukaryota; Viridiplantae; Streptophyta; Magnoliopsida; Poales; Poaceae
Description: partial small subunit ribosomal RNA
Source: RNAcentral
AUGGAUCGCAAGUUUCUGAAUAUGGUCCUGCACGAGUAUGGCAGUAGAAUGUAUUCGCUGUGCCGCAUCAAGCUCUCCACUCAUCUCUUCUAUCCGACAGCAAAAGACGCAAUAACAGCCCAUGAAGAUGCAAAUGCAAGGAAGAAGAAGCAUGGGGGAUGGCCAUCAACGAUCUCGAGCUGCAAGCGCCCGCCAAGUACUUUGGUCAACUUCUCGGUGCCACCCAGCACUGCUGCCGCCAGUAACAUGCGUUUCUUCUCCCUCCUGCCUGAGCAGGGAGAGUCCUCUGUCAUGUUCACUGACCCUUCUUGCAACUCCGCAGUCUACGAUAUGGACAUGAAGUCUUUCGUUCUCGCACCCAGCUCAUACUUCUGCAAACCGUAUGAUUCCAUCACCGUGUCCAUUAGGAACCGAUGCAGCAGUGGCAAUUUCUUGGACCACGAAGAUGAUCAUGGCCUCUACGUCAUGAACAGCUUGGACGACAGCUUUGAGUUCUUCAGUUACUGCAAGGUUGGCCUAUCUACCUAUCCGUUGCUGUACAAUAAGUGGUACUGGAGUCCUCUGCCGUCUCCACCGUCCCGCACCAGUCCUCUUGUUGCAGCGGCGGUGAUUGACAACUCCACCAUAUGCGCGUCAUCCAAGAACGGCACAUACACCUUUGAUAUUUCGAGGGAGGUGUGGAGCCACACUGGCAGCUGGGUGCUGCCCUUCCACCGCGCAGCAGAGUAUGUCCCUGAGCUUGGACUCUGGUUCGGCCUCCAGGCCCCUGGCACCUGGCAAAAUCGCUUAUGUGCAUUUGACCUUUCAUCCUCUGCCAUGGCGGAAUCUGCUCCUUCACCCCUGCAUGAUUGGGAAUACCUCGAUCUCCUCCCCGACGAGUUGCUGCCGGUGGGGCGUGCCUUGGUGAACCUGGGCUCGGGCAAGUUUUGCAUCGCGACCCACUGCAGGAAGGAUAGGUCUGCACUCCAGGAGGAGGACGAGCUGGAGAAUAUUAGGAGUUUGGGUGGAAAUGGGGGUGUGCAAACUCUCUUGACUGGCGUGGAGGUGGUCCGCUGCGCCGACGGGCUCCAGCUUAUCCACCACAAGUCCCAACGUUACAACAUUGAAAACUUAAGUAUCCACUGUGUGCUCUGA